This 1411-nucleotide ribosomal RNA is filed under the name Pedobacter sp. TPD41. Its description in RNAcentral is "bacterial SSU rRNA". It matches the Rfam family "Bacterial small subunit ribosomal RNA". Lineage: Bacteria; Pseudomonadati; Bacteroidota; Sphingobacteriia; Sphingobacteriales; Sphingobacteriaceae. The record is from RNAcentral.
UGCAGUCGAACGAUAGAUAGAAGCUUGCUUUUAUCGAAAGUGGCGCACGGGUGCGUAACGCGUAUGCAACCUACCUUAAUCUGGGGGAUAGCCCGGAGAAAUCCGGAUUAAUACCGCAUAAAAUCACAGGAUGGCAUUAUCCAAUGAUCAAACAUUUAUGGGAUUGAGAUGGGCAUGCGUGUCAUUAGCUAGUUGGCGGGGUAACGGCCCACCAAGGCGACGAUGACUAGGGGAUCUGAGAGGAUGGCCCCCCACACUGGUACUGAGACACGGACCAGACUCCUACGGGAGGCAGCAGUAAGGAAUAUUGGUCAAUGGAGGCAACUCUGAACCAGCCAUGCCGCGUGCAGGAAGACUGCCCUAUGGGUUGUAAACUGCUUUUAUCCGGGAAUAAACCUAUCUACGUGUAGAUAGCUGAAUGUACCGGAAGAAUAAGGAUCGGCUAACUCCGUGCCAGCAGCCGCGGUAAUACGGAGGAUCCAAGCGUAGUAUCCGGAUUUAUUGGGUUUAAAGGGUGCGUAGGCGGCCUGUUAAGUCAGGGGUGAAAGACGGUAGCUCAACUAUCGCAGUGCCCUUGAUACUGAUGGGCUUGAAUGGACUAGAGGUAGGCGGAAUGAGACAAGUAGCGGUGAAAUGCAUAGAUAUGUCUCAGAACACCGAUUGCGAAGGCAGCUUACUAUGGUCCUAUUGACGCUGAGGCACGAAAGCGUGGGGAUCAAACAGGAUUAGAUACCCUGGUAGUCCACGCCCUAAACGAUGAACACUCGCUGUUGGCGAUACACAGUCAGCGGCUAAGCGAAAGCGUUAAGUGUUCCACCUGGGGAGUACGCUCGCAAGAGUGAAACUCAAAGGAAUUGACGGGGGCCCGCACAAGCGGAGGAGCAUGUGGUUUAAUUCGAUGAUACGCGAGGAACCUUACCCGGGCUUGAAAGUUAGUGAAUCAUUUAGAGAUAAAUGAGUGAGCAAUCACACGAAACUAGGUGCUGCAUGGCUGUCGUCAGCUCGUGCCGUGAGGUGUUGGGUUAAGUCCCGCAACGAGCGCAAACCCCUAUGUUUAGUUGCCAGCACGUUAUGGUGGGGACUCUAAACAGACUGCCUGUGCAAACAGAGAGGAAGGAGGGGACGACGUCAAGUCAUCAUGGCCCUUACGUCCGGGGCUACACACGUGCUACAAUGGAUGGUACAGAGGGCAGCUACAUAGCAAUAUGAUGCGAAUCUCACAAAGCCAUUCACAGUUCGGAUUGGGGUCUGCAACUCGACCCCAUGAAGUUGGAUUCGCUAGUAAUCGCGUAUCAGCAAUGACGCGGUGAAUACGUUCCCGGGCCUUGUACACACCGCCCGUCAAGCCAUGGAAGUUGGGGGUACCUAAAGUAUGUAACCGCAAGGAGCGUCCUAGGGUAAAACCGAUACU